Molecule: small RNA, 81 nt
Filed under: Stenotrophomonas acidaminiphila
Lineage: Bacteria; Pseudomonadati; Pseudomonadota; Gammaproteobacteria; Lysobacterales; Lysobacteraceae
Description: isrK
Source: RNAcentral
GCUGCGGCAAAUCCGCAGCCGGGUUUAGCAGCUCGAAGCACAAGGCGCACCAGCGCCCAUCGUCGAUGCCGGCGCUUUUUU